This 490-nucleotide ribosomal RNA is filed under the name uncultured bacterium. Its description in RNAcentral is "partial 16S ribosomal RNA". It matches the Rfam family "Bacterial small subunit ribosomal RNA", at positions 30 to 507 of the family's 1533-position model. The record is from RNAcentral.
AUUGAACGCUGGCGGCAGGCCUAACACAUGCAAGUCGAACGGUAACAGGGAUCAGCUUGCUGAUUCGCUGACGAGUGGCGGACGGGUGAGUAAUGUCUGGGAAACUGCCUGAUGGAGGGGGAUAACUACUGGAAACGGUAGCUAAUACCGCAUAACGUCGCAAGACCAAAGAGGGGGACCUUCGGGCCUCUUGCCAUCGGCUGUGCCCAGAUGGGAUUAGCUAGUAGGUGGGGUAACGGCUCACCUAGGCGACGAUCCCUAGCUGGUCUGAGAGGAUGACCAGCCACACUGGAACUGAGACACGGUCCAGACUCCUACGGGAGGCAGCAGUGGGGAAUAUUGCACAAAGGGCGCAAGCCUGAUGCAGCCAUGCCGCGUGUAUGAAGAAGGCCUUCGGGUUGUAAAGUACUUUCAGCGGGGAGGAAGGGAGUAAAGUUAAUACCUUUGCUCAUUGACGUUACCCGCAGAAGAAGCACCGGCUAACUCCGUG